Molecule: long non-coding RNA, 2721 nt
Organism: Diorhabda carinulata
Lineage: Eukaryota; Metazoa; Arthropoda; Insecta; Coleoptera; Chrysomelidae
Exons: 2
Source: RefSeq, a predicted model, not a curated record
AACAGUUAAUGAAACAGGCAGCACAUAACUGAAUGAAAAAUAAAGAUUAUAGUGUAUUAAUUAGUGGAUAAGCAUAGUUUAUUGAAACUUGCACAGCCAUAACAAAUUUAUCUUUGCAAACUUGGGGAAAUGAGACUUUUGGGAGUACAACCCGUAUUAAUACUGCCAAUAUCAUUUAGGAAGCAAAAAUACCGAUAGUAAGAAAUACAUGAAGGCCGUCGCCAUGCGGAUUUCAAGGAUGCAUAUUGAAGCAAAAAGAAUUAUACAUCAAAAAAACGGAUUAAGGUUAUGGCAAAAAGGCACUCUGGAAUAUUUUGAGAUUUGAUCUUGUAAAUAUACUUCGUUGAAGCAGAAUAAAAUUAUAAUAAACAAUGUACGAUAUACCUACAUAGAAAAUGUGUUUAUUUACAACGAUGAUGAUAUGCUGUAAAAAUAUUUUCACGUUUAUUCAAACAUUCAGCGACAAUUUUAGAGUAUUGAGUAACAAGAAAUCUUUUUUUAUACAGUGAGCUUCUGAAGUAAGUUCCUACUUGAUAGAAAAAAACCAAUAUAUCUUUAAAAUAAGGUUUGUUGGACUUAAUUAAGUAUCAAUAAGUAGAGUUUAUCGACCGGAUGCAAUGUUUUGGAGUUUGAGCGGAACGAUGUAGCCACUAGAAUGGUGAACCCGUUACAGCUCGAGAUGUUUAUGUUAUUUUUUCUAUUACCUUGCUGUAAUAAACAAUUGUAGAAAUAGAAUAUUUUUAAAAUGUUUUAUACAUAGUUAUUAAAAUUUCUCACUCUCGCAAUAAAAUAUUUAAAAAAAUAUAUUUUAAUCCUGACUUAAGCGCUGAAACUACCCGACUGAUCCACAACUGCGGUUUCUCGUUACUUCUACAGAUAUUAUCCUUUUUUACAAAGGACAGGCCAUAUAGCUUUACAGAAUGACCAGGUUACCAUACAUACUUUUCAAUCUCAUCGAAAUCAGAACAUUACGUAAUUAAUAAUACUUUGCAUUUCUGAAAAUUUUUCUCUAUAGCAAAGAAACAAUUGUUUUUCAUAAUCGUUUUCGUUUUUAUUUUUCAACAUGGUCUCUUCUAAGUCUAUACACUUAGUCUCUUCAAAAUAAGCGUUUAUAUAUGCAAUAUCAUCUUCAUUUGAUGAAAACCUCUCCCCUCCAAGUGGAGCUUCAAUGUUAAAAAAUAGGAACAAGUUAUUAGGGACCAAAUCUGGUGAAUAAGGUGGGUGAUCACCCAAUUCGUGAAUUUUAGCUAUGGCGAUCAGCAAAUGUAUCUUCCAUCUCUCUAACCUUAAUCCGACGGCAGUUGAGUACCAUUUGGUAAACUUUUUCGAUUAUAUCACUUGUUGACGCAGUUUACAGCUGCCUUGAACGCUUGUGGUCAGUCAAGCUGAUACGGGAACGAGCUGUCAAAAAUUUUAGGUCGUAAAUGAUGGUGCAAAGUACACACGUACACAGUGUUUCACUACUCACUAGCUUUUACCCGCGGCUUCGCUCGCAUCGAAUCCAUUAAUAAGUAUCAGAAAUCAUGUAGCUAUAUUAGAACCUGAGAUACAGAUCUCUGAAUGUAGAAAAAUUGCCAAAAACCUACAAAAAUCCAUAAUUGGACAUUGAAUGUCCGCGCCUAGCUCCUCUCCAAAUCAACCGAUUUAAAUGUUCAAAAACUCAAAAGAAAGAAGGUGUUUCAGCAGGUGUUCUUAAACCAAAACGAAGUCUCUCUCUUGAAUAGAACCUGGGAUAUUGAGGAUAGAACGUGUGUAUAUGAAAAACUCCCAUAAGUAAUGUACAGGGGGAAAUCGCAUUUGAGUAUAACUUGAGAAUGGCGAAAAUUAGAUGAAAUCCAAUGGUUGAUGGCUGAUCUGUGCAUCAAUACCUUUCAUUGAAAAAAAAAUUAAACAAAUCGGUUGGGUAGAACGCCUGAACGGACUCGGAUUGGAAAUCAUCAAUUUUUUUAAUUACCAACCCACCAAAAAACCUUCCUCGAUAUAGUGACGAUUCUACGCAAUAGAGUUUAUGUUUUCGACAUAUGUAUGAACGAUUCUGUUUUGUGUUCCAACCAACUUUGUGAUUGUACAGAAAAUAUCAUUUCAAUAAGCUUCCAAAAACAGUUCUAAGAACGGUCUAGAUUAGUAGGAUGGAACAAACUUUGCGUCUGCCAACAGGACAGUUACCUGAACAAUUCUGUUUUGUGUUUCAACCGACUAGGCAUCGUUUGUGAACUAUUACCAGGACUAUCCUUUCGAUAUUUGGCUAAUAUUAGAUACAAGAACCGUUCAUAACCGGAGAUCGCGCGAACAUAUCAUUUAAACGCUUUCAAUAAUCAUUCCAAGAACGGCCUAGAUUAGCAGGUUUGAACAAACUUUACGUGUUUUAACAGGGCAGCUACCGUUAUAGGAACGAUUCUAUUUUGUGUUCCAACCGACUAGGCAUCGUUUGUGAAUAGUUACCAGAAUAUUCUUUCGAUACUCGGCUGAUGUUAGAUACGUGAACUGUUCAUAACCGAAGAUUGCGCGAAAAUAUCAUUUAAACGCUUUCAAUAACCAUUCCAAGAACGGUCCAGAUUAGCAGGUCGGAACAAACCUAUGACAAUAAAAUCUAUCACCUCAAAAAUUGUAUGUUGAUGUAUUUUAUGUAGGUAUUAAAAUUAGUUUUAUUAUAGUUAAUUAAUUAAUAGUGAAUACAUGUUUACAUAAAUGCUCAGUUUUUAUUUUAUUUUAGUUCAAUUA